RNAcentral lists this ribosomal RNA (253 nucleotides) under uncultured bacterium. Its description in RNAcentral is "partial 16S ribosomal RNA". It matches the Rfam family "Bacterial small subunit ribosomal RNA", at positions 524 to 776 of the family's 1533-position model. The record is from RNAcentral.
UACGUAGGCAGCAAGCGUUGUUCGGAGUUACUGGGCGUAAAGAGUGUGUAGGCGGUUUGCCAAGUCCGGUGUGAAAUCUCCCGGCUUAACUGGGAGGGUGCGCCGGAAACUGGCAGGCUGGAGUGCGGGAGAGGAGAGCGGAAUUCCUGGUGUAGCGGUGAAAUGCGUAGAGAUCAGGAGGAACACCUGCGGUGUAGACGGCUCUCUGGACCGCUACUGACGCUGAGACACGAAAGCGUGGGGAGCAAACAGG